This 7550-nucleotide long non-coding RNA is filed under the name Zea mays. Its description in RNAcentral is "long non-coding RNA (ZMAY_LNC005582)". Lineage: Eukaryota; Viridiplantae; Streptophyta; Magnoliopsida; Poales; Poaceae. The record is from RNAcentral.
UACUCAGCAAAUGUCCCGUUUGGCUGUAGUGGACUAGCUUUAUGUGGGGUUAAGUCAAGCAGUUGCUUUUAGUUGGUCAGGUUAUUAUUACUAGUAGAAAGCCAGGUUUUAGCAUUAACCCAAGUUCUUAACCCAAAGUACCCUUUCCAAAUGGAAAGAAUACCACUUACCAUUACCAUAAGCAUGAUCAUAACCAUCCUCGUCAUCAUCUGUAAACCAACCAUCUCUGAUCGAAGUAUCUCUAAUCAAAGAGGAUCCCAAGGCCGCUCAUAACCGUGAGUACGGCUGAUAUAUCAGUUUCAUUACCCUCUGCAGAGGUCGCACACUUUACCCAUGAGCCGUGAUUCCCGUUUUGCCCAGGGAUCAUGACUCCCCAUUGAUCACUUCCUAGGUGGUCCGGCAGGGUAUCACUACGUAGCUUUUACAAAGAUUCCCUAGAGGUCAUAGCCGCCCGUUAGGUUUCUCCAGUUUGAUAAACACAGUACUCCUCCCCGUAGGAGGGUGACUAACAAAAGCAAAACGAAAGGACCUCGGCACCCAGCCUCGGCAGAGCAAGCACUGUGCCUGGACCCCAUUGACGGCACGACGGCGAAGCAACUACACCUCUAGUUCCUCUAAUUAAUUAGCUAAGGGCAUCCCAUUUCACCCUCAUGGUUGCACUGUUAUCCCGGGUGGUCUCUCAACGAACAGGUCCUUACGGAGAGGCACUCGAGAAACCGCUCGAGCCCCCUUAAAUGUCACAAGUAAAUCAUCAUAUCCAGAAUAAAACCAUAGUAUCAUCAUUGUAUCUCAUCAUGUUCAUUGACUAAAGUAAAGCGCUAGCAUGAAGCUAACCAUAGUAGCCCAAAAGGUAAUCAAGGACCAGGUAAAUAGAAAGCUAGUAAAUCCUUAGGUUGUUCAUAGUAUGCGGGACAGUGUAUUAUAAAGUAAAUGGGACAUAAUGGGUCAGAGGACACUUGCCUUCACCAAACAGAUGCUCAGGGUCUUUGAUCUCAUAGAACUCGAAGAGUUCGAUCACUUGGUCGCCAUGCUUGAUCGUCGAUUCCUCGAAGCUCAGAAACGAACCGCGAUCUAAUCGCAACGCGACGCGAAGACGAACAGGCACAAGCAAACAAACAUAUACAUAUGCAUAAGAACAUUACAUCAUACAAGAUAAAAUGUUAUAAAAGCGAGCAAUAUAAAAUAGAGAGCGCCUCUACGGUUACGCGAGGAAAAGAACCACUAUAGUCGAAGCUACGGUCGAGGGGUUAGCGCGUUUACGUUAAACAAGUACUAAUUAGAACAUCCAAUUCAACAUAAUUAUAUUAAUUGAUAUUAAUCAAAUAUAAAUUAAUACUACUACUUAGUUUUGACUAACUUACUAUUUUAAUAGUUGACAGUUAAGCAAGUAACUUAAUGAAUAUGAGCGAUUCUAAGCGAGACGAAUCAACGACGCACGACGUGCAAACACGAUGUGCGCAACGCGCGGACACAAACGACUUAGCGCGCGGACAACGCGUGAUACGCGCGAACGGCACGCGGCAAGGCGCGCGACACACGCGAACGGCACACGACAACGCGUGCGAACAACACGCGCAACACUCGCGAACGACACGCGACGACGUGCGCGAAACAGCACCGCGACACGCGCGGACCGAUAUGCGAAACUAAUAAUUAAACAACGUGAUUAAACUAAAUAAUUAUUAAUAACUAAUAUUUCAGUUAAAGUUAAUCAUAUUGGUGACUAAUUAUAAAUGCACAAAUCGAAUUCCUAAAUUAGAUUUUUAAAUUAAAAUGUCGUUCUAGUAGCCACUGAUUAAACAAACGUUUAACUAAAUUAAAUAAAAUGUGCAAAAAUUGGGAUAAAUAUUUCUAAAUUAAGAUUAUUUUAAUACGAAUCUAACGCAACUUGAAUGGAUCGAAUCGGGUUUAAAACGCAAAAGUUAUGAAUGUUUUAAACCAUACUGUAAUUCGCGCGGACUAAAUUUACAGAAUUGCCAUCUUCUUCCUCUCUUCAUCUUCUUCCUCCCAUCCAUGGAAGAGAGAGGAGAGGAAGGGGAGGGGGCUGCGCAGGGGAGGUCGGGGUUGGGCCGGCCGGGGCGGGCGCGGCCGCACCGGGCGCGCGGGGCGCGGCCACAGCCGCCGGGGAGGGGUGCGCGCGGGCGCGGGAGCACGGGACGCGGGCGUCACCGCCGGCCACCGCCGCCGCCGCCGGGGAGGGAGAAAGGGGCGCCGUCGAGGAGGGGAAACGGAGGGGGGAGGGGCGCCGCCGCCGGGGAAGGUGAGGGGAGAGUGGGAGAGGCUCUGCACGGACGGGAAAACGAAGAAACGAAGAAACCCUAGGUGCAACAAUGGAGGUUUCUCACCGGGGAAGAAGACCCUCGCCGGAGCCGAGGAGAAAUCCGUCGAUUGCCGGAGAUUCGGGGAUCCAAUCGACGAACCGAACGCGCUGCGACGAAGCCCUCGACGAGACGAACGCAGCGGUACCCUCGGAUUCGACAGACGAUGCACGGAUUGGGAGUAAUUGCUCGCCGGAGUUGUCGCCGGAGUUGGAACCGCCCCGAACUUCGGCGAGCAAUACCGGGAGCUAGGGAUUGGAUUUGGGGGAAACGUUUUGUGUUCUGGAACGGGCUCGACGAGAUGAAGCCGGACAUGUAUAUAUACCUAGGGUUUGGACGAGAUAAAAAUUCAGUUAAAAUUCGGAUUUUACUAUUUUUAAAAUUCGAAAAAGCCUAGAAAUCCAUAUUUUAUGCUCAAAAUAUUAUAGAUACUUUCAAAAAUUCCAGAAAAAUUCCUAUAAAUGUUUUGGGACCUAAUGAACUCAAAAAACAUAAUUAGAAUUUCUAAAAACAUUUUUAAGUUCCACAAAUAAAUAGAUUUUGGUUUCCGGAAAAUAGAAAAAUAUUUCGAAAAAUAUGAAAAUUUACCGAGCGCUUCUAUAAGAUAUCUUAACAUGUUUCAAACACAUUUUGCACUUAAAAACACCAUGCAACGGCAUGAAUGCAACAACCAAAGUGCCUCUAGGGCUCAUUCCACUAGGUUUACGCUAAUAUAAAACAAAAUAAUUCUCCAUUCUUAGGGAAAAGAGAAAGGAAAGCGAAGAACUCAGAGAGUAACACCUGAAUUUGGUGGAUAUUAGAAAAGAAAUUUUAUACCCCCAAAUUCAGGGUGUUACAAAUCUAACCCCCUUAACAGAAUCUCGUCCUCGAGAUUCAAGAAGAGACUAGCAGGAAAAUGAGAUUGGUUCAUUAGUAUUUCAUAGCUUUUUCUAACUCAACUUUGACUCCGCCGGCUUGACUUGUGGAUUGGUUGCUUUGACCAUCAGAUGCUUGAGACCGAUUGAUGCAAUUCUUGAGGAUCUCCUGGACCUGUGGGUUAGGACCCACACACGCUUUCGCUGCGCCAAUCUGAUCUUGUUGGUUGAUGUUGAUUGCAUUGUCUUUAUUGGGGGUUAGCGGCUAACCCCCUUAACAAGAGCAUUGAUACAUACUUGAUGAAGAUGUUGUCGACUCUGAUCUUGACUGAUUUGGAGGAGUUGGAGGUUGCCAAAAGGACAGGUGCAAGAGGAAAGAAUAACGAGAAAAGGUAAGUAUAGACAGAUUAGAGAGAGCAGGGGGAGAACUCAACUACUUAACUCUAUGGCACUCACCUAGUAAACAGAUUCCAUUACGGUCCAAGGGCCACAACACAUCAACACUCAUUCCAAAGAAGCAAAUCAGUCACAGCAGAAGGACAACCAUCAUGAGCACACAUCAACAAACAUCUCGUUGAUAUACGUUCCUUUUAAUUAAAUGGUGGUCUUUCUUGAAAAGGGAAUAACUACUCUCUAAGGUUGUUGAAGGACAAGGAGAAGAACAAGACGUGUAGGAUGGGGACACGAGCACAAUAAGGGAUGGAGUUAAAGCAAGGACUGUAAUUUACAAGGGAGAAAAUGCAACCAAUAGUAGGGUAGGUAAACACCAUUCUCAAAUCGAGAUGGGAAAGAUGAUAUUUCAAAAGGUAGGCAUAGGAUAAGCAUCAUGAAAAGAUCUAGAGAUUACAAAGGUAAGCGAGGUAACAGGCAAAAGCCCACCAAAAUAUUGAGUUAAGGCAAGACUUGCAACACGACAGAGGAAAAAGGGAACGAACAAGAGCGAGAUAGGGAAAACAACAUUCUUGGAUUGAAAUGGAAUAAGUGAGGCUAAAAAAAAUAAUUAAACAUUAUGGUAAACAUGGAGAGAGGUCAAGGGUCAAAGGUGAUGAUAGGCAAGGAUAUAAAGGAAGAGGUAAAUGUGCAUAAAAAACCAGGAAUCUAGGUACAACCAAGAAUAGAGUUCAGAUAAGUCUUGCAAGUGGUAACGUAUGGGAUAUAACCACGGGUGAGAUAAGUAAGAGACCACGCUGGAACUAAGCUGGGAGAUUGGAGGCUUUAGAUAACGAACAUAGCGUAAUUACCAAGGUAAGAUUGAGAGAUGAUAAGGGUAAAGGCAAUAAGAAGCAAAAGCACAACAAAGGGUGAGGUUACAAACUCGUGAGCCAAAGAAGAGGAUACGACCAAGAGAAAGAAGGUAUGAGACGGAAGAGGGGCGAUUUUAAAGGGCAGGUAUGAGGCAAACAUCAAUGUAGGAUAUAGAGGUGUCAAGGGUGCAUAUGAUAAUAAUUAAAAAGCAUAACAAAGGAUAUAGUUAAGACAAGACUCGCGAAACGACAAAGUGGAGAAAACAAUCAAGGGUAAGAUCGGUAAGGUUCCAACAUAAGGGUUGAAGUAAAGAUUCAUUACCGAGUGGAGUUACAAGGAAACAACGAGAUUACUACAGGUGUGCAAAAUAAAACGAUCACUCAUGGAUCAUUAGGAAACAAGGGUGGUCAAGGGCAUGUUAACCGAAAUAUUUCAAACAGAUAUUGGGAUAUAAAGGUAAGCAUAUAUAAAAAUAGGAGUAUGCAAGAUUCCAAUGGUACGAGCAUACCAAGACCAAGAAAGUACAAUUUGCCAAAAAGAUAGAGACUUAACAAGAGAAUAGGAAAGGGUCUCAAAAGACAGUAAGAUCAUGGACAUAUAAACUGAAAUGUUUAAAUAGGCAGUAGAGGUACAAGGGUAAGUGCUUUAGAUUAAGGGAUAAGGGUAUUAAAAAUGCAAGAAUACGAGCAUGUCAAUAACAAAAUGGAAUAGAGAUGGUCAAAUUGUAGCAAUUUAAUAAUGGAUGAUGUCGGGGACCAUAAUUAGGGGUACCCUCAAGGCGCCUAAUUCUCAGCUGGUAACCCCCAUCAGCAUAAAGCUGCAAAGGCCUGAUGGGCACGAUUAAGUCAGGGAUCAGUCCACACGAGUGACUCGAUCACGCUUCAUCCGAGCCUAGCCUCGGCCAAAGGCAGCCGACCUCGAGAGACUUCCGUCUCGCCCGAGGCCCCCUUUUUAUGGCGGACACAUCAUCGGCUCGCCCAAGGCCUUGGCUUCGCUCAGAAGCAACCUUGACCAAAUCACCACACCGACUGACCAAAUUGCAGGGGCAUUUAACGCAAAGGUGGCCUGACACCUCUAUCCUGACACGCGCCCCCGGCAGAGCCGAGGUGACCGCCGUCACUCCACCGCCCCACUGGCCAGUCUGACAAAAGGACAGCACCGCCUGCGCCACUCCGACUGCAGUGCCACUCGACAGAGUAAGUCUGACAGGCAGUCAGGCCUUGCCAAAGGCGCCACGGCGAACUCCGCUCCGCCCGACCCCAGGGCUCGGACUCGGGCUAAGACCCGGAAGACGGCGAACUCCGCUCCGCCCGACCCCAGGGCUCGGACUCCGCCCUGGCCUCGGCCGAACGACUUCCGCCUCGCCCGACCCCUUGGCUCGGGCUCGGCCACGGCAACAGAAGGCAGACUCAACCUCGGCUUCGGAGGAAACCCCACGUCGCCCUGCCUAGGGCACAGACCGCCACGUCAACAGGAGGCGCCAUCAUCAUCCCACCCCGAAUCGACUCGGGUCACGGAGAACAAGACCGACGUCUCAUCCGGCCAGCUCCGCCAGAGAGGCAAUGAUGGCGCUCCACGAGCUCUAUGACGACGGCGGCCCCCAGCUCUCUUACGGAAGCAGGACAACGUCAGCAGGGACUCGACCGCUCCAACAGCUGUCCCUCCAUCAGGCUCCGCCGCACCUCCGACAGCCACGACAUCACGCCAGCAGGGUGCCCAGAUCUCUCCGGCUGCCACAUUGGCAUGUACCUAGGGCGCUAGCUCUCCCUCCGCUAGACACGUAGCACUCUGCUACAUCCCCAUUGUACACCUGGAUCCUCUCCUUACGACUAUAAAAGGAAGGACCAGGGCCUUCUCAGAGGAGGUUGGCCGCGCGGGACCGAGGACGGGACAGGCGCUCUCUUGGGGCCGCUCGCUUCCCUCACCCGCGUGGACGCUUGUAACCCCCCUACUGCAAGCGCACCUGACCUGGGCGCGGGACGAACACGAAGGCCGCGGGACUUCCACCUCUCUCACGCUCGGCUCCGGCCACCUCGCCUCUCCCCCCUUCGCGCUCGCCCACGCGCUCGACCCAUCUGGGCUGGGGCACGCAGCACACUCACUCGUCGGCUUAGGGACCCCCCUGUCUCGAAACGCCGACAGAUGAGGAAAGAGUCCCAAAAGACUAAAGGCUAUGGUCAGGGGGCAUCUACAAAGAUGUCGCAAGCACAAGAUGAGAUCAGAUCUAAUAGAUUGAGAGAAGUAUAGACCAUACUAGAAUAAAAUAAUUUUUGUCAAGGGGGCAUAUAGGAGCACAACAUAGAAUUAGUCAAGGUGACUAAUAUUUUGAAGCAGAAUCAAGGAUGAGAUGAAGUAAUAAUCAAUAAGUCCUUAAAACGGCCAAUGCUAAACUAGGGCAGCGGUCCUACAGUCAGCACGGCUUUGAUACCACUUAUGUCACACCCGGUUUUGAAGGUAAACCGAAUGCGAACCAUGUACGUGCCAGGAUCAGUAAUUCACGUACACAGCGAUUACAUAAAUGACUCAUCAUAGCACAAUGCUUCGAAUUAUAAUAAAGAGUAAGUAAUAAUAUUACAGACUAGAGCCAUUUACAUAAUAUAAAUCAAAGUACACAGAAUCGAAACGUAGCCAACGUAAACAACCCACCACAGGCAGCUGACUGGGGGAGGUCGCUAGCCUAAUCCUCGAAGUCAUCGAAGUCCUAGAACUCCUGGAGAUCCGCCUCGCGCCUUCUUCUUUACCUGAGCAUAGAUUGCACCAAAGGCAACCUGGUGUUUUGUGAAAGCAAGGGUGAGUACACAUCAACGUACUCAGCAAAUGUCCCGUUUGGCUGUAGUGGACUAGCUUUAUGUGGGGUUAAGUCAAGCAGUUGCUUUUAGUUGGUCAGGUUAUUAUUACUAGUAGAAAGCCAGGUUUUAGCAUUAACCCAAGUUCUUAACCCAAAGUACCCUUUCCAAAUGGAAAGAAUACCACUUACCAUUACCAUAAGCAUGAUCAUAACCAUCCUCGUCAUCAUCUGUAAACCAACCAUCUCUGAUCGAAGUAUCUCUAAUCAAAGAGGAUCCCAAGGCCGCUCAUAACCGUGAGCACGGCUGAUAUAUCAGUUUCAUUACCCUCUGCAGAGGUCGCACAC